AUGAACCUGCAGCGUCUCCGUUUGCUGGUAACGAUGCAGAGCCACAUGUCCCUGCCCACCAUGAAAGAGCGACAGCCAUCACAGGAGGGCUCUGGGGACAAUGCUGAUGCUGGCGAGCAGGCACUGGCUGUUCCACAGCCUAUUCACCACAGGAAAACGUUACGGGGGAUGACACAGAUGCAGCAUACACUUUCCAGAGGGGAUGGGAGUCUGCAUUCACAAGGGUUUCUUCUUACAGCUUGUGGAAUCCUCAGAAACAUGAGCUUUCAGCUCCUGUUCCCACCAAAGAAUUUCCUCUUUGGAAGGCUGCUAUACCCUUUCCUGGCAAUUCUGGUGUGA
Molecule: long non-coding RNA, 339 nt
Filed under: Anas platyrhynchos platyrhynchos (common mallard)
Lineage: Eukaryota; Metazoa; Chordata; Aves; Anseriformes; Anatidae
Description: lncRNA (ENSAPLG00000023020.1)
Source: RNAcentral